AAUAAAAGAAAUACAACAGAUGUGACCCAAUAAUUCUUUCUAAACUAUUCAAUUGAAUCAAGAAUUUUAAAAACGGGGUAUAACAGAGCCAACACAGUAAGUCAUAAUGGUCAGGUUAAAUCUCAUACAAGGGUUCCAUUCUCUAGCCAGAGCAGAUAAAGGCGCCAGAAUACUUCCAUACAUCCAUGCUCCCAUAUGCAAACAAGUCGCUCAUCUACAUUAUUAAUUAAAAUAACCGAACACGUUAUAAUAUAUAAUUACAAAUUAUACCAAUAUAGAUAAUGAUCUUGGUAGAAAAAUUCCUUCCUCCUUUUUGUUUUGUUUAUUCAUAUUUUUCCUCCCUAUAAAUAUAACUUAAAAAUUGUCCCAAUCUAGAUGAGUACCACUGCUUUAUGAUCCAUCCAUGAACAGAGCACCAUGUCCACUGGAUUUCAUGAACUUCUUCAGCAAAAGAACCAAAAUUGCAAUGGUGAGUCCAACAGCAGCCCAUGUGAACAAGCGAUCAUCAGCUGGUCUUUGAGCCCUUUUCUCUGGCCUAUGCAGCACCUGAUCACUUGAACCACUAGCAGGAGUCUCUCUUGAUACCCUCACUUCUAUAGUGCCAGGAUUCACAAUGACUGGAGCCUCGGGCACUUCUUCGAUAAUUCUAUCACCUACUGCCAGAUGUUCAUUUGGAUGUGCAGCUAUGGCUCCAUCUUCUUGCAAACUUGACUGGGCUUCACCCUCCCUGUUGGUAGGUUGUUCUUCAGAAUCCUGAGAAGGGCUUAGUUGAGGAACUGGCGGUGCCUUGCUUAGCAUAUACUGAUGAAUCUCAUCAAUGAGUUUUUGACGCUCGGAAGUCCCAAAUCUAGGGGCUGCUUCACGAGAUUUGAUGGCCAGAACACGUCUCUCUUCCUUCUUGUAGUCUAAUGAGCCCAGCGCACCAUUUGGAUUGGUAGGCAUGAAUGCAAUAAGAGCUACCAGAGCUGUUCGUACUGCCAAUGAGAAUGAGUGAAGCCAUGCAACAUUAGCCAGGUACUUAUAGAAUCAACAUAUUGCAUGCAUGCAAAAUUCAGCCUUCAUUUACCAUUAGUAAACAGGUAAGGCAGUGCAAAUAAUUAAAUUUAAAAGUGAAGCAUCAAUUAAAAUUUGGCAUCAAAAUUCCAGGUACCAUUAUUCAUUCCAAUACACCACAUCUCAGUCUUACCUAGUUGAGAUACAAUGUAUUGUAUAUCUUAAUCUUUAACAGUCUAUCCCAAUAUUAAUGCAGAACUAAGAAAGGAAGAAAUUGUGUCACUUUUGAGUAAAAUUAAAAAAUAACAUAAAUUUGUCCUAACUGCCAGUCUUCCUUUUCCAAUUUGGUCAUUUCCACUGCACUUGAAACUUAACGGUUAACCUCCAGUAAGCUAUAUCAAAUGACAGUGGGAGCAGCAUAAUGAUAUAGAUAAUUUGAACACACUCUUACUCUAUUACCAGCAACACUUCUAAAGAAGAUAAACUUACCACUCCAUGAUGGCUGCCAGUGCUCAGGAUGGUGAUUUGAUAUGCUUAAGCAUAUCUUUGUCUGGGUUUCAAAACGGCCAUUUGGCUGGAAAAAAGGGCAGAAACCCUCGUUAGCAAUAUCUGAAGAAUUAAAUGAAUAUUAGUAAAAGUAAUAUCUUACUGUCAACAACAUAAAUGAAGGCGGUUUGAAUGGAUAUUCUGCAGGCAAUUGAAUCCGUCCAUGAUAAAUCCCACCCUCAAAUUCAGUAUCACUAGGGCCCCUGAUGGCAAAUUGCCAUUCAAAUAUGUUCUCCUCAAGAGGCAGGCUCAUGAAAUCAUCAGAAGGAUUAGAUUGCAUCUCUUUGACCUCCUGCAAAAUCCUCUUCACGGCCGGAUUCUUCAAAUUGUACUUAUCCUCAGCCAUUAUCUCACCUGAUCUGAUCGGCGAUCCAACCACCACUGUCCGUUUAGCUGAGCAACCACGUAUGAAGAACCGUAUUUAUGGCUGGUGUAGAUAAGAUAAGAAGUGUAAGAUACGGUUUCACGGAGAGAGAGAUUGGAAAGGGUUUUAUUUAAUGGAAGAGAUUGUUGAGUCGAGAGGAGCUGGAGACGACGACUUUAUCUGUCGAAAUGACACGUCAUUCGACGAAUAUUGGCUACGUGGCUCGUGGCUAUUGGAUACUUUGCCGUACCAGUCCUAG
This 2162-nucleotide unclassified non-coding RNA is filed under the name Hevea brasiliensis (rubber tree). The record is from RNAcentral. Lineage: Eukaryota; Viridiplantae; Streptophyta; Magnoliopsida; Malpighiales; Euphorbiaceae.